GACGAACGCUGGCGGCGUGCUUAACACAUGCAAGUCGAACGGAGAUUCAGCAAUGGAUCUUAGUGGCGAACGGGUGAGUAACGCGUAGGCAAUCUGCCUUCUAGAUGGGGACAACAUUCCGACAGGGGUGCUAACACCGAACGUUGUAGUUGGUUCGCAUGGACUAGCUCCUCAAGGUGGCCUCUGAAUAUGCGACCGCUAGAAGAUGAGCCUGCGUCUGAUUAGCUAGUUGGAGGGGUAACGGCCAACCAAGGGUUCGAUCAGUAGCCGGUCUGAGAGGAUGAACGGCCACGCUGGGACUGAGACACGGCCCAGAGUCCUACGGGAGGCAGCAGUGGGGAAUCUUCCGCAAUGGACGAAAGUCUGACGGAGCAACGCCGCGUGAGUGAAGAAGGUUUUCGGAUCGUAAAGCUCUUUCGUUAGGGACGAACGUGCUCUUUGUGAAUAAUGAGGAGUAAUGACGGUACCUAAAUAAGAAGCCACGGCUAACUACGUGCCAGCCGCCGCCGUAA
This 512-nucleotide ribosomal RNA is filed under the name uncultured bacterium. RNAcentral's name for it is "partial 16S ribosomal RNA". It matches the Rfam family "Bacterial small subunit ribosomal RNA", at positions 28 to 523 of the family's 1533-position model. The record is from RNAcentral.